UCUUCCCGGGGUAUCAGCCUCUCCCUCAUGCUGCAUAGUGGUGCUGUUCCUGGAAUUGAGAGAAAUGGGGUGCAUGCCACCUGGCCCCAAAGACAACCAUGGCCAUUAUAUUCCCUGGCAUUCCUGAUUGGUUUCAGAAAAAAUAUCCUACUCCUGGAAGACAUGCUGAGGACAUGACCAGAACCUUGAAGGACCUGGACACCUAGAAUGAGGACUGGACUAACCAGCUCCUCUCCCACUUCUGCCACUAAAUCCUUAUUGACUCCUUAUUGACGCUGAGACUGCUACUAACCUCAUCAAUAAAUCACACCAGGAUUGACCACUCCCAGAACUCAGGGAGAACUAUUGGAGACAGGCUAUUGCUCAAGACAGCAUGUUCUGCUUGAGCAAGGGGCCCCAGAAGAUGAGACACAUAGAGCCCUGCAGCUGCAUCCACUUCCUCAUGCCUUAGCCCCUGUAUGAUCUCUAACUCUCCUGAUUCACAGCACAGUUGCCUCCAGCAUGCAGGAAGGUAACUGUCUCUUGCU
Molecule: long non-coding RNA, 527 nt
Organism: Nannospalax galili (Upper Galilee mountains blind mole rat)
Lineage: Eukaryota; Metazoa; Chordata; Mammalia; Rodentia; Spalacidae
Exons: 2
Source: RefSeq, a predicted model, not a curated record